This 299-nucleotide unclassified non-coding RNA is filed under the name Hevea brasiliensis (rubber tree). The record is from RNAcentral. Lineage: Eukaryota; Viridiplantae; Streptophyta; Magnoliopsida; Malpighiales; Euphorbiaceae.
AAAAUGAGGAGCUGCUGCAGUUUGUUUUGGCUAUCCAUGGUGAUUUUGCUCUCUGCUUCUUCGGUAACAGACGGGACGAUGAUCGUCGAAAGGCGGUGGAACGGCACCGGAGAAAUGGAUGGUAUUGAUUGGGAGGUUAGCCUUGCAGGUGAUGUAAAUUACUUGUCUUACAAAGUUACUAAUGAUAAGCCACCGAUCUGCAACGAGAAAGUGUACGGGAAUUGCAUAGGGGACAAGAAGCCUGGCCAACGCCCAUGUACUGAAUACAAUAACUGCAAGCGUUCUCCAGAUUAAGUGAU